AGACCAAGGGGUGUGAUUUUUUGUUGUUUUAUUUUUUAUUUACUUACAAUUUACAUAUAAUAUUUGCACAGGUUUUAAGUUCGUUGAGUUUGUAUACAUCCAUAUUACUGAAAUGUAUACACAUAUAACUUUGUUCAAAAGGGCCCCAUGUUUAGUGUAGUGCUCUACUAUUAUUGCUGUCUUGAAUUCUUAAUAAUUUUCUCUUUGAACUUGUGUUUUAUAAACUGAGUCUGAUUGGACAAUGGAGCAAUAUGUGUGUCUGCCGUUCCUGUCUCCCCAUUCACAUAUGGUCUUUGCAAUGCUCCACGAGGACAGAAUUCCAGGGAAGAACAAUGAGUGGGAGUGCGGCAAGACUCCAAGUGAGGUUCCUCCUCUGUGAAAUGGAGAUGAUACUGACUGCUCAAAGUUGCUGUGAUGUUUACGUGAUUACAAAAUUGCAGGCCCAAUGUUGAGCACGUGAAAUUAUAUAAAUGAAAUUGGUUGUUAGUUAGCCCAAUAAGCCAGGAAUGAUGCUGACAGAGGAA
Molecule: long non-coding RNA, 524 nt
Organism: Diceros bicornis minor
Lineage: Eukaryota; Metazoa; Chordata; Mammalia; Perissodactyla; Rhinocerotidae
Exons: 3
Source: RefSeq, a predicted model, not a curated record